This 1647-nucleotide long non-coding RNA is filed under the name Mytilus galloprovincialis (Mediterranean mussel). Lineage: Eukaryota; Metazoa; Mollusca; Bivalvia; Mytilida; Mytilidae. The record is from RNAcentral.
GGCAGUAGUAAUUGGAUUGGACUGGUCGAUCUUAAAGAAGGUAUUUGGCGCUGGACAUAUGAUCAGUCAAAAGCCGUGUUUUUAACGUGGUAUUCUGGUUACGGUUCCAAGGGCACUGGCAGUAAUUGUGUGUACUUAUCUGGUGGUAGAACCAAUUGGUUCGAUUAUGAUUGUCAUGUCAAGUUGUAUUAUAUAUGUGAAAGCAAUUUCUGUAAGUACAUUUUAACUCUAUUUGUCAUUUAAAUGUAUUCAACAAUAAAUUUUGGGAGACGGAUUUAUAUAAGUUUUUCCAUACUUGUUUCCGAAUCCCAUAUUUGAACUUCAUGUAACAUUGUAAUAUUUUAUUCUUGUAAUUUUUCAAUUGUAAAUAGUGUUUAAACUAACAAUAAAUUUUACACCAUUUCUUGUACGGACUAAUCAUUCAUGACGUUUAUACCUAAUGGUGUAAGUUAAUGAGGGGAAGGACGUGAUAAACACAAUAAGGAAUUCACUUGCUAUUGUGUCGUUUUGUUUUAAUUUUCAGGGAAUCGAACAUCUUUAAAGGUUAUUUGCAUUUAAUUCAUUCAGCUACGUAUUGUAUUGUGUCAAAAUUUAAAAUAAAAAUAUAUGGAAUUAAUACCAGCGAUACAACUAACAACUUGAGACAAUGACAUAGUGAUAUGAUACUACAUGACACAAAAAUGCCAAACCAUAUAGUAGGCUACAGGAGGCCAAUCCAUGACAACAAUUCAAACAAUUCAAACGAAAAAAAAAAAAACGAUCUGAUAUAUUCAAUAAACGAACAACAAAUAUAACAGACAUCAACCAAAUUCAAAACUAAAAAAUUACAACAGAUACAAAGUAACGAUUUUAGGGACUCAAGGCAAAUACUGAAUCUAGUUCAAACUAAUUACAAUAAUAGAUGAAUUAUGAAACCUGACUUAAAUAUCUAAGUAGACGUAAGGAUGUAUUAAAAAAAGGUUCUACACAUCAUGACCUUGUGCAGUGCCAGAAGUAUGGUCUCGAUAGCAAUGAACAUAAAAUAUAUCUUUAUGUGUAAAUAAGUGUUGUAUGUGUCAUUGGCUAAAUUGAUAGUCCUUUUUUAUUUUCUGUGGUUUGUUCUUAAACAAAUCAGUAUGGUCAAAAGAGAAAAAUAAUAACUUAGAACAUGUUCGACCUACAUCAUAUUUCGUCUUGCUAAAAACAUGAAACAUCCUAUAAACACUUAUUGCAUAAUUGAUUUACAUAGGGUGAAAAAAGGUUAAAAAAUAAUACAGAUCAGACGUAAAUUUGUAUUUUUGUUUUGUUUUAAUAGUGACUUGGUGCCGGUAGUUGUUAUUUGAAAUACAAAUAAUCUAUGACUUUGCUUACAAUAUUAAUAUUAACACGUUGUUGAUCAUGUUGAAAGCAAAGCCAUGGUUUUUUUUUUAUGUCAAUUCUAUUAUUUUUAUAAUGUCUGUAAGUGUUUUCCUUUUUGCACUUCUAACGUUACUUUUUAGUUGCUAAUUAUGUUCUUUUAGAAUAAAACAUUUUUGCUAAAUAUUUCUAUGUUGUUUCUUUUUCAGGUUUUUAAAUCAUCCACCGAAGUGUAAACCUAAGAACAAACACAACAUGAAAAGACCCUGCUAUAAAUGUUGAAUAAAAUGAGAAUAAAAAAUAUAGUCUUCU